This 345-nucleotide ribosomal RNA is filed under the name Lygodactylus sp. 25 aff. tolampyae C MV-2021. RNAcentral describes it as "partial large subunit ribosomal RNA". It matches the Rfam family "Bacterial large subunit ribosomal RNA", at positions 2076 to 2597 of the family's 2925-position model. The record is from RNAcentral. Lineage: Eukaryota; Metazoa; Chordata; Lepidosauria; Squamata; Gekkonidae.
UGCUGAGAUAAAAACACAAGACGAGAAGACCCUGUGGAACUUCAAGUUUCCCAUUAGAAAACAAUGGCCCACGCCUAAAAACCUAAUGGGUACUUUCAGUUGGGGCAACUACGGAGUAAAAAGAAACCUCCACGCACCGCAAUUAACACCUGCACCCCAGGCCCACACGCCACCCAAACCAGACCCAGCAAAGCUGAUCAUCGAACCAAGCUACCCCAGGGAUAACAGCGCUAUCCCCUUCAAGAGUCCAUAUCGCCAAGGGGGUUUACGACCUCGAUGUUGGAUCAGGACCCCCAGGCGGUGAAGCCGCUGCCAAAGGUUCGUUUGUUCAACGAAUAAUGUCCU